UAAAAUGAUCACCCUGCUUUUGCAUAUCUUUUUUUCAUCAUGAAGAUCCAACCGCCUUGUUAAUCAUUUGAUCAGAACCACCAAAUGCCAUCCGUUUGAUUUGUUGACUUACAUGUUUGACUUGGAUAGCUUCUAGUUGGUAGCCAAUGUGAUGCAUGUGAUUAGGAUCAUGUCCUCAUUAAGACAAGUUGGAUGUAGUCAACACUCUAUCCAUAGUUCCACAUAUACAAAGACAAAAAGGAUUGCUCUAGGACUAGCUCAAUUAGGAUAUCUAGAUUUUUUACACUGAAC
Molecule: long non-coding RNA, 291 nt
Filed under: Manihot esculenta (cassava)
Lineage: Eukaryota; Viridiplantae; Streptophyta; Magnoliopsida; Malpighiales; Euphorbiaceae
Description: long non-coding RNA (MESC_LNC000600)
Source: RNAcentral